UGAGGGAAUAUUGGGUCAAUGGGCGCGAGCCUGAACCAGCCAAGUAGCGUGCGGGAAGAAGGCCCUAUGGGUUGUAAACCGCUUUUACCGGGGGAUAAAGUGAGCGACGUGUCGCUCAUUGCAGGUACCCGGCGAAUAAGGACCGGCUAAUUCCGUGCCAGCAGCCGCGGUAAUACGGAAGGUCCGGGCGUUAUCCGGAUUUAUUGGGUUUAAAGGGAGCGUAGGCCGGAUGUCAAGCGUGUUGUGAAAUGCCGGGGCUCAACCUUGGCACUGCAGCGCGAACUGGCGUCCUUGAGUGCGCACGCCGCGGGUGGAAUUCGUUGUGUAGCGGUGAAA
RNAcentral lists this ribosomal RNA (336 nucleotides) under uncultured Prevotella sp. RNAcentral's name for it is "bacterial SSU rRNA". It matches the Rfam family "Bacterial small subunit ribosomal RNA", at positions 354 to 686 of the family's 1533-position model. Lineage: Bacteria; Pseudomonadati; Bacteroidota; Bacteroidia; Bacteroidales; Prevotellaceae. The record is from RNAcentral.